Molecule: ribosomal RNA, 498 nt
Filed under: Pinctada imbricata (Akoya pearl oyster)
Lineage: Eukaryota; Metazoa; Mollusca; Bivalvia; Pterioida; Pteriidae
Description: partial 18S ribosomal RNA
Rfam family: Eukaryotic small subunit ribosomal RNA
Source: RNAcentral
AAGGAAGGCAGCAGGCGCGCAAAUUACCCACUUCUGGCACGGGGAGGUAGUGACGAAAAAUAACAAUUCGGGACUCCNACGAGGCCCCGUAAUUGGAAUGAGUACACUUUAAAUCCUUUUAACGAGUAUUAUNNNAGGGCAAGUCUGGUGCCAGCACGCCGCGUAAUUCCAGCUCCAAUAGCGUAUAUUAAAGUUGNNGCAGUUAAAAAGCUCGUAGUUGGAUCUCGGGUCCAGGCUUGCGGUCCGCUCCUUGGCGUCACUGCUUGUUCCUGACCUACCUGACCGGUUUGCCCUUGGUGCUCUUGAUUGAGUGUCUCCGGGUGGCCGAAACUUUUACUUUGAAAAAAUUAGAGUGCUCAAAGCAGGCGAUUAGCCUGCAUCAAUGGUGCCUGGAAUAAUGGAAGAGGACCUCGGUUCUAUUUUGNNNNNNNCCGGAACCGGAGGUAAUGAUUAAGAGGGACUGACGGGGGCAUUGGUAUGGCNNNNNNAGAGGUGAAA